This 243-nucleotide ribosomal RNA is filed under the name uncultured bacterium. Its description in RNAcentral is "partial 16S ribosomal RNA". It matches the Rfam family "Bacterial small subunit ribosomal RNA", at positions 15 to 236 of the family's 1533-position model. The record is from RNAcentral.
GAUCCUGGCUCAGGAUGAACGCUGGCGGCGUGCUUAACACAUGCAAGUCGAACGAAGCACUUUUAUUUGAUUUCCUUCGGGACUGAUUAUUUUGUGACUGAGUGGCGGACGGGUGAGUAACGCGUGGGUAACCUGCCUUGUACAGGGGGAGUAACAGUUGGAAACGGCUGCUAAUACCGCAUAAGCGCACAGCAUCGCAUGAUGCAGUGUGAAAAAUUCCGGUGGUAUAAGAUGGACCCGCGG